GGAUAUUAAAGGGGCAAAUAUACUUGUGGAUCCUAAUGGUGAAGUCAAGCUUGCUGAUUUUGGCAUGGCUAAACAUAUAGCAUCUUAUACUUCAAUACGAUCUCUUAAAGGAAGUCCCUACUGGAUGGCUCCUGAGGUUAUCAUGAAUGGAAGUGGCUACAACCUCUCUGUGGAUAUUUGGAGCCUUGGUUGCACAGUGCUUGAGAUGGCAACAUCAAAACCUCCAUGGAGCCAGUUUGA
Molecule: long non-coding RNA, 240 nt
Organism: Phalaenopsis equestris
Lineage: Eukaryota; Viridiplantae; Streptophyta; Magnoliopsida; Asparagales; Orchidaceae
Exons: 3
Source: RefSeq, a predicted model, not a curated record